UGGCAGUUAAUCUAUUUUAGAAUGGUGAUUUUUGAAUUUUUUCUACCGGAUACAUAUUUCUUAUUAAAUAGUGAUGGUAGAAAAUACCAUUCUUUCCUUCAUCCCUUAUGCAAUUUUUUUUACCUUCUGGUUCUUAUCUUAACCAGAUAGUAUUUAUUUGCCUGCUUCUUAUUCCCUCUAGGGUGCCCUGCAUGUCUCCAAAUGUUUUGGAGAUCAGGUCCUCGUUGCCUUCAUGCUAGAAGUAUGGUUUUUGAUGAAUGUGCUCUGUAGUCUCAGAGAAGAUGACUUCAGUAAAUGGAAGUUAAAAAGAUUUCUGGAAACCUAUGGUCUAUGCACAUGACAAAGAUGAAGAAAAAUGGGAGAAAUAAACAGUGGCAGAAGGAACAUAUAAGAAAAAGAGGUUCUAUUCUUCAUAACUUCAGUAGGAC
Molecule: long non-coding RNA, 428 nt
Filed under: Parus major (Great Tit)
Lineage: Eukaryota; Metazoa; Chordata; Aves; Passeriformes; Paridae
Description: lncRNA (ENSPMJG00000002996.1)
Source: RNAcentral